Oreochromis niloticus (Nile tilapia) is the source of this 190-nucleotide long non-coding RNA. RefSeq lists it as uncharacterized. The record is from RefSeq and is a predicted model, not a curated record. The transcript has 2 exons. NCBI's taxonomy places the organism in Eukaryota, Metazoa, Chordata, Actinopteri, Cichliformes, Cichlidae.
UUGCACAUCUACAGAAAGUUGUGAAGAGUGUUUUGGACUACCCCACGACGUGAGGAUUAAAGUUUUUAUUCCCUUUGAGUGAGGCCAAUGAGUUCUGACGGCAUUGUAUCGGCUGUGGUUGGACAUCAUUACAUGUUAAGGCAUGUCGAAGAAUCCUCCUGUCCGAAAUAAAUGUCAGUUUAAAAGCAAA